This is a non-coding RNA of Lonchura striata (white-rumped munia), 465 nucleotides long. Lineage: Eukaryota; Metazoa; Chordata; Aves; Passeriformes; Estrildidae. The record is from RefSeq and is a predicted model, not a curated record.
GUAAAUAAUUAGUAGCCGUGGGCAAGUUCUCCUGAGCAGGAGCCCGAACGCUCCAGGUUUUACUUCACCGGUGUUGAUUUAGGGCUCUGUAUUGGAACUUGCAAUCAGCACGGGGCUCUUUGCUCUAUUUGAUGGGAAUAUUUGAUUUUACUCCACUCAGAGCUAAAUUAGCUGCAAAGCCUCUCCUCCCCAUCCCGAGCGUGGUCCUGGAGCUGAGCUCAGCCCGGUGAGCAGAGCUCUGAGGGCACAGAGGAAUUCUUUUUGCUGUGGGAAUUUUGUCCCGGCCCUGCCGCUCUCCCGCGUUCCUGGAAAGUCUUGAAUAAUCAAAUGGGUCAUUUCUGCUCGGCUGCCGUAAUUUAUUGUCCCACCGAAUCCAGAUCUUCUGAAUGCUAAUGGAAAAAACCCCAUCAGCCGGGCUGGUGCCAUUCUGCUUUAUGACCUUAUUAAAUUUACACUUUCCUAUCA